CAGUGGUCACCCAGCUGAAGAAAAAUCACUCUACCUACUUUUUCUAUGAGCAACCAAAAGUUGGACUACAGUCUCCUGACCUACGUAAGAGUUUCUGCUUUGUGUCAAAGAAUAAGUCAAGUUCUAAACUGUCUUCUCAUAUGUGAAAUCCAGUAUUUAGACUAUGAUAAAGCAGGUGUCAAGGAGAGUAGAAAAAAAAAUCUGCUGCAAUGAAUCUGUAAAAAAAAUAUCGCUUCCACCAAAUAUCUCUUCAGCAGAUGCUGACAAAUCCCUAUCUCUUGUCUCCCACUUGAAUGCUGCAGUGACAGAAAAUCUGUUAGGAAGACAAUUCAGAAGAGAGAUUAGAUUUCUUGCUGCUUCUAAAGAGUACUAGGAUCACCUGGAUUACUGUUAUAUGGAACCAAUGGUCCAGAAAAUGAGGAAUCUAACACAGAGUUCAUGAACAAACAUUAGUAAAACAAGAAAGGUCUUCAGAGAGCAGAGGAUUUCAUUAAAGAUCUGGGCUGAAAAUCCUUGAUGGAAAUGGAGACUAGGUGAAGACAACGUGCAAUUAUUUCCCCAUUUUGGGGAAGAGAGUGGAUAAAUGAAAGACAAUUCAUAAUAUAGGAAGAAAGGUAAGGUAAAGGAAAAUGGUUAAAUCAAAAUGAAAAAAUGCUCUCCUUAAAUAUUUAUGACUUAGACUGAUGAGACUCUUAUUCCUGAUAGACAGUUUGCAGACUAAUGGGAUUUUAAUUGUCCUUGAUGCAAUUAGGGGUGAUGUCUUUUGCUAAAUCCUGAGUUUCAGCCAUAGUUUAUGUAAGUUGUUCACAUUACUCAACUUACAAUGAUGUACUUGGCUUCAUUGUUUGUGGUCUGGUUCUCAUUUGUCUGGCAUUACACUGUAAGACUGCAGUGACUCAGAUUUCCUUUAGUUUUACAACAAAAAGCACUACCAUGUAUCGCAUGAGGCAUCCCAAGUUUAGUCACUGGUUUGCAGUCCUCUUAUGCAGGCUUUUCAGGCAGGUGUAUCCAAACACAUACCUCUGCAUUCAGAGGAUAAACAGAAAUUCCCUGCUUUAUUCUCACAAUAGUGACUUCUUCACCACAUAAACACUGACUUAUAUUUGAAUUUUUUUAUUUAAUUUGAAAAUUUUCAGUCCAGGAUGUUUCUGAGGAAUGAUUUAAUCGUAGUCCUUUAUUUCUACUAGAGAUUCAGAUCUAUGUUUUCCUUCUUAGAACAAUUUUGCAGUUUUUAAGGGAUGGAGGAGAAAGCUGUACUCAAAGCCUGCUAUGUAGGAGAAAAUAAGAAUUGCUCAUAAUCUGCUUGGCAGUGAUUCCAUCAAACCUUGCUUAACCUUUAUUUAGACAAAGCGCUGCUAAAGUUGAUUAAGUCUUUUACCUGGAGCAGAAAGGCAGGAGAGCUGGCCACUGUGUUGUUACUGUAUGUAUUUAAUCAUUAAAAAAAAAAAAAAUCUGCUAUACAUUUUAAUUGGUUUCAAGUCAGUAUUUUUGCUGUAAGCAAUAAAAACGGCUAUCCACAUGUUCACACUAAUACAGUGAAAUAGAUUAAAAAAUUUUAAUAGACUUUUGGAUGUGGCUUUUAUGUAUAUUCAGACAGCAGAAACAGUGGUGUAAACUUCAGCAUAUGCUAACCAAAGCAUGCACUCAGAUUCCUAGUCUAUAUUUCAACUGUUUCUGAUGCCUAUGGCAUUAUUAUCACUGGGUUCAGCUAAGACUAUUAAAAUUUAAAUUAUUAAAAUUAAACCAGA
Molecule: long non-coding RNA, 1748 nt
Organism: Pezoporus flaviventris
Lineage: Eukaryota; Metazoa; Chordata; Aves; Psittaciformes; Psittacidae
Exons: 3
Source: RefSeq, a predicted model, not a curated record